GUAAUUGCGCUGGAGGUAGACUUUCCAUUGUUCAGUAAUGCUGCUAUUGAAAGAUCUCUGAGUCAUGAAGCUAGGGAGGCAUUUCUCUCGGCUUUGGUUUCUGAUGGUCGUGCAGAAUGGAUGGAUAAAGGUCAUAGAAAAUGCCUAGUUCUAUGGCAUCGUAUUCAAGACUGGGCAGACUUGAUUGUAAACUUUGUGAAGGAGAAUGGGCUGGAAGACAGUGUUAUGACAGUUGAAGAAAUACGUUCUGGGGUGGAGUCCCGUGGAACAGAGCUUCAUGGAAUAGACCGUACAGUUCUUAUGCGAGCUUUGAAGGUGCUGGAACAUAAAGGAAAGCUUGCAAUAUUUAAGGGAACAUCAGCUGAUGAUGAAGGUGUCAAAUUUUCUGUGUAAACCACCUUGGUGGACUAUAUUUUUUUUGUGUACGAUGAUGGAGAAAGUUCGUAUCUACGAGCACGUAUGAAUUGCUUUAUGGAGUGAAACUGGAGAUAAAAUGGUUUCAUGUUAUGAUACAGAUACCUUACUGGACUAUUUUAAUUCCAGGUAGAAUGAACAUU
This 557-nucleotide unclassified non-coding RNA is filed under the name Hevea brasiliensis (rubber tree). The record is from RNAcentral. Lineage: Eukaryota; Viridiplantae; Streptophyta; Magnoliopsida; Malpighiales; Euphorbiaceae.